AGAGUUUGAUCCUGGCUCAGAACGAACGCUGGCGGCAGGCUUAACACAUGCAAGUCGAGCGCCCCGCAAGGGGAGCGGCAGACGGGUGAGUAACGCGUGGGAAUCUACCUUUUGCUACGGAAUAACUCAGGGAAACUUGUGCUAAUACCGUAUGUGCCCUUCGGGGGAAAGAUUUAUCGGCAAAGGAUGAGCCCGCGUUGGAUUAGCUAGUUGGUGGGGUAAAGGCCCACCAAGGCGACGAUCCAUAGCUGGUCUGAGAGGAUGAUCAGCCACACUGGGACUGAGACACGGCCCAGACUCCUACGGGAGGCAGCAGUGGGGAAUAUUGGACAAUGGGCGCAAGCCUGAUCCAGCCAUGCCGCGUGAGUGAUGAAGGCCCUAGGGUUGUAAAGCUCUUUCACCGGUGAAGAUAAUGACGGUAACCGGAGAAGAAGCCCCGGCUAACUUCGUGCCAGCAGCCGCGGUAAA
Molecule: ribosomal RNA, 468 nt
Filed under: uncultured Ochrobactrum sp.
Lineage: Bacteria; Pseudomonadati; Pseudomonadota; Alphaproteobacteria; Hyphomicrobiales; Brucellaceae
Description: bacterial SSU rRNA
Rfam family: Bacterial small subunit ribosomal RNA
Source: RNAcentral